Non-coding RNA from Arabidopsis thaliana (thale cress), 191 nucleotides. The record is from RefSeq. Lineage: Eukaryota; Viridiplantae; Streptophyta; Magnoliopsida; Brassicales; Brassicaceae.
AAUAGAGGUUCAAUUUAAUUUCUUCACUAUUAGACGGACAAAGUGAAUAUAUAAAUAUAUCUUGAUGUACAUAUCAUUUUUGUGACAUUAUUGAUAUGUACAUGAAGAUAUAUUUAUAUAUUCAAUUGGUCCGACUUGGUCCGUCUAAUAGUGAGGAAAUUAAAUCAAAUCUCUGCUUUGAAUUUUGACUU